CAGGCCGUAGGCGAUGGUCUCCGGGUCACCGAGGCUGCGGCCCUCGGCGACCUUGAUGGGGUCGAUGUCGCCGACCAGGUCCGC
This 84-nucleotide transfer RNA is filed under the name Mycobacterium europaeum. RNAcentral describes it as "tRNA-Arg". Lineage: Bacteria; Bacillati; Actinomycetota; Actinomycetes; Mycobacteriales; Mycobacteriaceae. The record is from RNAcentral.